Molecule: long non-coding RNA, 2182 nt
Organism: Canis lupus familiaris (dog)
Lineage: Eukaryota; Metazoa; Chordata; Mammalia; Carnivora; Canidae
Exons: 4
Source: RefSeq, a predicted model, not a curated record
UUGUUCACUUCAAUCAAUGUCUGAAAGUAUCUGCUCUGAAAUCUCUGUUUCCAGGAUAUUGGUCAAAUAUUUGAAUGGGGCAGCUAGUUAAUUGACUCAGACAGAGCACUUGACAGAGAGGCAGAGGGAGAGGCUGCGGGGCACCGCUACACAGCUGAGCCCAGAGUCUGGCAUUCGGAGGUCUCCAGGGGGAGUCCCAUGCUGCAAGAGGGUGUUCGGGCUGGAAAGGAAGUUCCAGAAAUUGUGUGCUCACAGUCUGCCCUGGCUGGUGACACUUCCCUUCCUUAUGGUCUCCAAAUCAUCCCAAGAGCACUGCCUUCUCAGAGAACACACCUUUUUCUGACCUCUUGAGAUGCGGAGACUGAGGCACAAACAAGAGAAGUAACCUGCUCGGGGUCCCCUGACACUUGAGCCCCCUCCCUGGGGGGCCCUGCUCAUAGCUGGUACACAGCGAACACCACCGAAGACACGGAUGUGCUGGCAGGAAUGCAGGGGCAGAUGUCAACAUUUUUGUUCCCUCGGGGGAGUCAUGAAUCAGAGCUGCGUGGGGGGUGGGAGAUGCUGAUGGGCUGAGCUCCUUGCAACUCCAUCUGCUUACUUACCCGGUCUGCAGGGAGCCCCAGGGCGGCCCCCACCUGUGCCCCUACCCCACCCACUCCUCCUCCCUCUGCCUUGCGGAGCUGAGCCCGGAGAGCCGGGGAACUGCAGCGUGGGGUUGUUGGGUGACUUCAGGUUUAAUAUCUUUGUAACCAUAUUGCAAAAGGGCAUGCCUAAGACGGCGCCUUUCGCUUAAUCUUUCUCUUUUAUUGCUUUUUCUCUUGUAUGAUUUAACCUUGCACCAGGUAUCAAGCUAGAUAAAUAAAAACUUUUAUUUCAGAUUAGCCCCGGCUGGGGGCUGCCUUGAAAGCUGAGCAGUCAUCCAGGGAGUCAGAUGAAAAAGGGAGCUGGGAAUCUGAGCUGCUUAGAGGGGCUCAUCUCAGGUUCAAAGCCCCCAAAAGAUAUUUGAGACCUUUUCUGAGGGGAGGGGCAAAAUCUCCUCCAGUGCCCACAGCCUGGGGGUGCUCAAGCCCGCACAGCAGCCCUCCGGACCCCCUCCCAGGUGGCCCCACCCCCACUGCCUCUUCUCACCCCGUAUUUCCUCCCCAGUGCUCCCUCCCCAGCCACCGGACCCUGCUUUUGUAGACUCAUUUCCCAGUGGAUUGUGGGUUCCACAGGGGCAGUGACAGUGGCUUUCACUUCGCUGCGGGUCCCCAGGGUCCAGCAUGGAGCCUGGCCCACAGUAGGCACACAGGCAAUAUUCAGGGUUAACUGAAUGAAUGAUAGAAUCCUGGGAUUCCAGUCCACACCCAGACGAGCGGGUUGACACGAAUCAUUUCAUUUCCCAGGCAGCAUGGUAAAGGAUGGCAGGAAGACUGUGAGCUUGGGAAGCAGGGAGAUAGAGAUUCGAAUACUGUGUCCACCCCUUCUGUGCUGUGUGACCCUAAAAGCACGUUUCAGGAGAUCCAUGAGUUUGGUUUCCUUGUCUGUAAAAUGGCUCUGGGCCGCCAGAUCCCGGGCUUAUGGCGAGGGUCAGAGACGGUGUCUAGCCAAGGCAAAGUCUCAUGCUCAGUGACAGACACACAAGGUGUUGUUCAUAGCAGCACGAUUCGCGAUAGCAGGGAUCAGUGCACGCACUCAUCAGCAGGAAAACAGAUUGCCUGUGGCAUUUUCACGUGACGGAGGACUAUGCGGUAAUAAAAAGGAACAAAUGAGACCUACGCCCCCAAAAUACGAAUGAAUCCCAGAUAUGUAAUAUCGGGCAAAGAAAACACAAGUCCCGGAGACGACGCAUAUAACAUGAUACUUUUUAAAUAAGCUUCAAAGGCAACUAAACCCAAACAAUAUGUGAUCCGUGUAUAUGUGACAAAGGAUCACACAAGCACGGGAAUGGAAAACAAACCCAAGAUUCAAAGAUGGGGAGGAAUGCAGCCAGAUGUGAGGGAAACUGGACAAGAACGUCCCUGCCAAACAACCUCCAGCCAUGAACUAGAAUAAUCCGCAGCCCCAUGAGCAACCUCCAGCCGUGACUGAUGUACCAGACCCAGGUGCGCCCGAAGAGAAGUUUCCUGGGCUGAGUCUAGGUGCGGUCCCUGCCCAGCUAGGGAGGAGGACCCGACGGGUAGCAGAAGAGGUGCUAGUUGGG